RNAcentral lists this ribosomal RNA (253 nucleotides) under uncultured bacterium. RNAcentral describes it as "partial 16S ribosomal RNA". It matches the Rfam family "Bacterial small subunit ribosomal RNA", at positions 524 to 776 of the family's 1533-position model. The record is from RNAcentral.
UACGUAGGGUGCAAUCGUUGUCCGGAUUUAUUGGGUUUAAAGGGUGCGUAGGUGGCUGAUUAAGUCAUGGGUGAAAGCCCGCAGCUCAACUGUGGAAUUGCCUGUGAUACUGAUUAGCUUGAGUGCGGUUGAGGCAGCUGGAAUUGGUGGUGUAACGGUGAAAUGCAUAGAUACCACCAGGAACACCGAUUGCGAAGGCAGGUUGCUAAGCCGUAACUGACACUGAGGCACGAAAGCGUGGGGAGGAAACAGG